RNAcentral lists this ribosomal RNA (422 nucleotides) under uncultured Allobrachymonas sp. RNAcentral's name for it is "bacterial SSU rRNA". It matches the Rfam family "Bacterial small subunit ribosomal RNA", at positions 956 to 1382 of the family's 1533-position model. The record is from RNAcentral. Lineage: Bacteria; Pseudomonadati; Pseudomonadota; Betaproteobacteria; Burkholderiales; Comamonadaceae.
GCAACGCGAAAACCUUACCCACCUUUGACAUGGCAGGAAUCCCGAAGAGAUUUGGGAGUGCUCGAAAGAGAACCUGCACACAGGUGCUGCAUGGCUGUCGUCAGCUCGUGUCGUGAGAUCGUUGGGUUAAGUCCCGCAACGAGCGCAACCCUUGCCAUUAGUUGCUACGAAAGGGCACUCUAAUGGGACUGCCGGUGACAAACCGGAGGAAGGUGGGGAUGACGUCAAGUCCUCAUGGCCCUUAUAGGUGGGGCUACACACGUCAUACAAUGGCCGGUACAGAGGGUAGCCAACCCGCGAGGGGGAGCCAAUCCCACAAAGCCGGUCGUAGUCCGGAUCGCAGUCUGCAACUCGACUGCGUGAAGUCGGAAUCGCUAGUAAUCGCGGAUCAGCAUGUCGCGGUGAAUACGUUCCCGGGUCUU